The sequence is a ribosomal RNA, 107 nucleotides long. It matches the Rfam family "Bacterial large subunit ribosomal RNA", at positions 1 to 107 of the family's 2925-position model. The record is from Rfam.
GGUUAAGUUAUGAAGGGCGCACGGUGGAUGCCUUGGCACUAGGAGCCGACGAAGGACGGGACUAACACCGAUAUGCUUUGGGGAGCUGUAAGUGAGCUUUGAUCCAG